This 500-nucleotide ribosomal RNA is filed under the name uncultured bacterium. RNAcentral's name for it is "partial 16S ribosomal RNA". It matches the Rfam family "Bacterial small subunit ribosomal RNA", at positions 30 to 523 of the family's 1533-position model. The record is from RNAcentral.
AUUGAACGCUGGCGGAAUGCUUUACACAUGCAAGUCGAACGGCAGCACGGACUUCGAUCUGGUGGCGAGUGGCGCACGGGUGAGUAAUGUAUCGGAACGUGCCCAGUCGCGGGGGAUAACGCAGUGAAAAUUACGCUAAUACCGCAUACGAUCUAGGGAUGAAAGCGGGGGAUCGCAAGACCUCGCCCGAUUGGCGCGGCCAAAAUCAGAUUAGGUAGUUGGUGGGGUAAAGGCCCACCAAGCCAACGAUCUGUCGCUGGUCUGAGAGGACGACCAGCCACACUGGAACUGAGACACGGUCCAGACUCCUACGGGAGGCAGCAGUGGGGAAUUUUGGACAAUGGGCGAAAGCCUGAUCCAGCCAUUCCGCGUGCAGGAUGAAGGCCCUCGGGUUGUAAACUGCUUUUGUACAGAACGAAAAGGUUUCUACUAAUACUAGGAGCUCAUGACGGUACUGUAAGAAUAAGCACCGGCUAACUACGUGCCAGCAGCCGCCGUAA